This 253-nucleotide ribosomal RNA is filed under the name uncultured bacterium. Its description in RNAcentral is "partial 16S ribosomal RNA". It matches the Rfam family "Bacterial small subunit ribosomal RNA", at positions 524 to 776 of the family's 1533-position model. The record is from RNAcentral.
UACAGGGGGUGCAAACGUUGCUCGGAAUUAUUGGGCGUAAAGCGCGCGUAGGCGGCUACUUAAGUCGGAUGUGAAAGCCCCUGGCUUAACUGGGGAAGUGCACCCGAAACUGAGUAGCUAGAGUGCGAAAGAGGGUCGCGGAAUUCCCGGUGUAGAGGUGAAAUUCGUAGAUAUCGGGAGGAACACCAGUGGCGAAGGCGACUACCUGGCCUGUUCUUGACGCUGAGGCGCGAAAGCUAGGGGAGCAAACGGG